Molecule: ribosomal RNA, 395 nt
Filed under: uncultured bacterium
Lineage: Bacteria
Description: partial 16S ribosomal RNA
Rfam family: Bacterial small subunit ribosomal RNA
Source: RNAcentral
AUACGUAGGGAGCAAGCGUUGUCCGGAAUUACUGGGCGUAAAGGGUGCGUAGGUGGCCAUGUAAGUCAGGUGUGAAAGACCGGGGCUCAACCCCGGGGUUGCACUUGAAACUGUGUGGCUUGAGUACAGGAGAGGGAAGUGGAAUUCCUAGUGUAGCGGUGAAAUGCGUAGAUAUUAGGAGUAACACCAGUGGCGAAGGCGCCUUUAUGGACAGUAGCGGACCCUGAGGCACGAAAGCGUGGGGAGGAAACAGAAUUAAAUACCCUGGUAGUCCACGCGGUAAACGAUGGAUACUAGGUGUGGGGGGCGAUAGUCCUCCGUGCCGAAGCUAACGCAUUAAGUAUCCCGCCUGGGGAGUACGAUCGCAAGGUUGAAACUCAAAUGAACUGACGGGG